RNAcentral lists this ribosomal RNA (346 nucleotides) under uncultured bacterium. RNAcentral's name for it is "bacterial SSU rRNA". It matches the Rfam family "Bacterial small subunit ribosomal RNA", at positions 28 to 375 of the family's 1533-position model. The record is from RNAcentral.
GACGAACGCUGGCGGCGUGCUUAACACAUGCAAGUCGAGCGGUAAGGCCCUUUCGGGGGUACACGAGCGGCGAACGGGUGAGUAACACGUGGGUGACCUGCCCUCAGCUCUGGGAUAAGCCUGGGAAACCGGGUCUAAUACCGGAUAUGACUCCAUGACGCAUGUUGUGGGGUGGAAAGCCUUGUGCGGCUGAGGAUGGGCCCGCGGCCUAUCAGCUUGUUGGUGGGGUGAUGGCCUACCAAGGCGACGACGGGUAGCCGGCCUGAGAGGGCGACCGGCCACACUGGGACUGAGACGCGGCCCAGACUCCUACGGGAGGCAGCAGUGGGGAAUCUUGCGCAAUGGG